GUCAUGUUAGAGUAACUGUAGAGUAAGAAACAGCAGUAUCGAACUGGAUCCCAGGGACAUCUGCAGAGAGAGACAAACAACCAUUCCAUUUGAAUUUGAAGCCUGAAGAACCCAACAUCUGUACUUGUACAAAUAUGUUGUGGACGGUAAUUCUGUGUAUCAGUUUCUAAAACUUUUUUGUAAACUCAAAGCUUUCAGCAAGAAAUAACCAUGGCAACACCUGCUGAUCUGUUGGAAAUACUGGAAGACCUGGCAGAUGAAGAGUUGAAAAAGUUCAAAUGGUAUCUGCAGUAGGCUGAGGACUUGAAAGAUUUCCCAUCAAUCUCAAGGAGCAAACUGGACAACACAAACAGGAUGACCACAGUGUCUGAGCUCAAAGAGACUAACAACACAGAUGCAGUGGCAGUGACCAUUAAAGUCCUAAAGAUGAUCAAAAGGAAUGACCUGGCACAGCAUUUAUCAAAUAUGAACCCAGCGUCAAAAGGUCAGUAAUGAGGAAGUAAUUAUAUGCAUUAAAGGACUGAAUGUGCAACUGUUAAUUUCACUGGUAGCAGCAAAGAUUCCUCAUUUGCAUCAACUGUGAAGUAAUUACUAAGUCAUCUGUUGCUUUCCUAAUGUUCUAUGCAACUAGCAAUCCCUCUUCCACGUAGCACAGUGUUUGAUCCUGAACGUAUCCCACAGCUCUUGCCAAGAGAUGUUCCUCUUUUCCACUGCUUCCCAUGUCAUCCACUGCCCUUACAUCACCUGCACGAUGACUUUUGCGCACCUGUCUGCUUCCUCUGCCGUCGUACUUCCACUUCCAGGAACUAUAAAGCGCUCUUUAAAUUGCAGUUUUAUUCAAAUGACACAGAUGAAAAGAGGAAGACGAGAACUGGCUGUGGAAUGAUGGAUGCAGUAGUCGGGCGUUUAAAUGUCCAAAACUCCACAGUUUGAGGUUCGAGCUUGUUUUACUCAACAUCUGACGACAUGAUCCAUAUCAGCACCCCACAAGCAGCACCAACAUCUUCAUAAACCCUGUACAUCACAGAUGUAUGGCUCUAUGUGAUGCUUGGUGGAUUGUUUUUCAUUUUACAAAAAGAAAAGAGAAAUAUGUGCAGUAUGUGAAUAUCUACGUGGAAGAAUCAGCGCUUACAGAAUCUGACCGAAUGUAGGACAUCUGAGUGGUUUUUGGAAUUUCUUGUUUUGGCAUUUAG
This is a long non-coding RNA of Amphiprion ocellaris (clown anemonefish), 1193 nucleotides long. The record is from Ensembl. NCBI's taxonomy places the organism in Eukaryota, Metazoa, Chordata, Actinopteri, Pomacentridae.